GUCCAAAUAUUCAGGCCUGGGGUCUGCUGGAUCAGCUUGGUUUGGAAUCAGUGGCCCAGCAUAACUCUGUUCCUGUUGGUAGUUGCAGUCGAACCCUUGUGGCGAUAGGAGUGCAAAGUAAAUCUAACGCCGAGGUGGUUCUCCAUCUAAAAGGUAAGGCUUCAACUUUUCGGGCAGACCCAAAAAUUGAUGGGCGUGACAGAAACGAAGUGGUAGUGGAAGUGGGAAGUCUAGAUUCUGGCAGCGGUGGUCUUUCCUAAAAGAAAAUAUUUCAAUAACAAAAACAGUGCUCCUCCUUUAAACAAUACUUUGGGUCCGUCUUCGAUGGGGUUUUCCGGUUCAGGAAACGGAAUUAGAAACAAAGGCAGAGGAAUUACUAAAAAACAUAAUAAAAUUCUUCAUGGAAAUAAUAAUCGAUUCAAAAC
This 425-nucleotide long non-coding RNA is filed under the name Gossypium barbadense (sea-island cotton). RNAcentral describes it as "long non-coding RNA (GBAR_LNC011591)". Lineage: Eukaryota; Viridiplantae; Streptophyta; Magnoliopsida; Malvales; Malvaceae. The record is from RNAcentral.